UGAUGACGAGACGCUAAGGCGUUGAAGCAGUGUAUGUCAGACUCCCAAGAAAAGCUCGCACUGUCAUAAACAAAUAAUGCCUGUACCAUAACCGACACAGGUGGGUAGGUAGAGUAUACUAAGGGGCGCGAGAUAACUCUCUCUAAGGAACUCGGCAAAAUGACUCCGUAACUUCGGGAGAAGGAGUGCCUUAUUUAUAAGGUUGCAAUAACAAGAUCCAAGCAACUGUUUAUCAAAAACACAGGUCUCCGCUAAGUCGUAAGACGAUGUAUGGGGGCUGACGCCUGCCCAGUGCCAGAAGGUUAAAGAAGUUGGUUAGUGUAUGCGAAGCUGAUGACUGAAGCCCUGGUGAACGGCGGCCGUAACUAUAACGGUCCUAAGGUAGCGAAAUUCCUUGUCGGGUAAGUUCCGACCCGCACGAAAGGCGUAAUGAUUUGGAUACUGUCUCGGAGAGAGGCUCGGUGAAAUAGACUUGUCUGUGAAGAUGCGGACUACCUGCACCAGGACAGAAAGACCCUAUGAAGCUUUACUGUAACUUGAAAUUGGAAUUGGACUUUGCUUGCGCAGUAUAGGUGGGAAGCGUUGAAAAUAUUCUUGCGGGAGUAUUGGAGCUAUCAGUGAGAUACCACUCUUGUAAUGUUAGAUUUCUAACUUUGAACCAUAAUCUGGUCAAAGAACAGUUUCAGGUGGGCAGUUUGACUGGGGCGGUCGCCUCCCAAAUGGUAACGGAGGCGUACAAAGGUUUCCGCUGAACGGAUAGAAAUCGUAUCUAGAGUGUAAAGGCAUAAGGAAGCUUGACUGUGAGACCUACAAGUCGAGCAGGGACGAAAGUCGGUCUUAGUGAUCUGACGGUACUGAGUGGAAAGGCCGUCACUCAACGGAUAAAAGUUACUCUAAGGAUAACAGGCUGAUCUCCCCCAAGAGUUCACAUCGACGGGGAGGUUUGGCACCUCGAUGUCGGCUCAUCGCAUCCUGGGGCGGUAGUACGUCCCAAGGGUUGGGCUGUUCGCCCAUGAAAGCGGUACGCGAGCUGGGUUCAGAACGUCGUGAGACAGUUCGGUCCAUAUCCGGUGUAGGCGCUAGAAUAUUGAGAGGAGCCUUCUUUAGUACGAGAGGACCGAGAAGGACACACCGCUGGUGUACCAGUUAUCGUGCCAACGGUAAACGCUGGGUAGCUAUGUGUGGAGUGGAUAACCGCUGAAAGCAUCUAAGUGGGAAGCCCACCUCGAGAUGAGUAUUCUC
Molecule: ribosomal RNA, 1242 nt
Filed under: metagenome
Description: bacterial LSU rRNA
Rfam family: Bacterial large subunit ribosomal RNA
Source: RNAcentral